AGAAGCAGGAUACAUCAAACCAGAAGCCUUCAAAGCUUCUAAAAGGAGUAUAAGCCUCCUAGCUUCUG
Molecule: transfer RNA, 68 nt
Filed under: Kinyongia multituberculata
Lineage: Eukaryota; Metazoa; Chordata; Lepidosauria; Squamata; Chamaeleonidae
Description: transfer RNA-Trp
Source: RNAcentral